UCCCUGUGACCACGUGGGUUUUCUCCGGGAGCUCCGCUUUCCUCCUGCCUUCCACAAAUGUACAGGUUUGUAGGUUAAUUGCCUUGGGUAAAAAUGGGAAAUUGUCCCCACAGUGUGUGAUGGGAUAGCAG
Amblyraja radiata (thorny skate) is the source of this 131-nucleotide long non-coding RNA. RefSeq lists it as uncharacterized. The record is from RefSeq and is a predicted model, not a curated record. Lineage: Eukaryota; Metazoa; Chordata; Chondrichthyes; Rajiformes; Rajidae. The transcript has 3 exons.